UCUGCUGGAGAGAGGGGUCAGGGUGUGGGAGGAGGGAAGAACUCUCUGGGGCUGCAACUCUUCCUCAGUCAGUUCUAAGCCUUCUGUCAGGUGCAGCCUGGAGCAAGGAAUUGUAUCCUGCCCUCACUGAAGUGACUGGUAAUAUUCCAGGCCCAAACUGGGCUAAACCCAAAGGCUUGGAAAUCUGACAAAUUUUUAAAAAAGGUAGGCAGUUAGAAAACACACCUUUCUUCUCAAGGUAAUGUACUAUUUACAGCCUCUUUAAUUUAUUAAAGCGUUAUAAUUGUAUUUACAACUUUGUCCCUGGAUUUCACUUUCUACCCUGAAUGCUUUGAUCUUUAUGUUACAGAAGAGCUGAUCUUUAUGUUUACCGUAUUUAGUAGAAGGAUAUUUUAAUCUCUUUUUUUUGAGAAAAACAGCUGAAGUCUCUCAAGUAGCAGGAUAUCACUGGACCAAAGUUUGCUUCAUGGCUCAAUCUGCUAUGGCUGGAAGAAACAAGGAAAAUCAAUACCUUUUUGUCUUUGCU
This is a non-coding RNA of Taeniopygia guttata (zebra finch), 526 nucleotides long. The record is from RefSeq and is a predicted model, not a curated record. NCBI's taxonomy places the organism in Eukaryota, Metazoa, Chordata, Aves, Passeriformes, Estrildidae.